CCCUGCCCUAGAGGCUUUGUAAAUUUAACUGUUGUGUCACAUGGGCAUCAGUAGGUGGCGGAGGCAAGAGAUGCCAUGUCUAUGCUCAGUGUUCUGGCCUGUGAACAUGGAGUGAUUAGUAGCCUAACACU
Molecule: small nucleolar RNA, 131 nt
Organism: Mastomys coucha (southern multimammate mouse)
Lineage: Eukaryota; Metazoa; Chordata; Mammalia; Rodentia; Muridae
Product: small nucleolar RNA SNORA17
Exons: 1
Source: RefSeq, a predicted model, not a curated record